GCCGGGUGUGGUGGUGCAUGCCUGUAAUCCCAUCAGCUCAGAAGGCUGAGGCAGGAGAAUCUCAAAUUCAAAGUCAAUCUCAGAGAGUGAGGCACUAAGCAACUCAGUGAGACCCUGUCUCUA
Molecule: small RNA, 123 nt
Filed under: Marmota monax (woodchuck)
Lineage: Eukaryota; Metazoa; Chordata; Mammalia; Rodentia; Sciuridae
Source: RNAcentral